AUGGUUACCGACUCCUAUGGCGUCGACACAAAUUGGUAUGCGGAUACCGGCGCCACAAACCACAUCACAGGGGAGCUCGAGAAGCUGACGACCAGAGACAAGUAUCGUGGACAUGACCAAGUGCAUACUGCAAGCGGUUCUGGUAUGAAAAUCACUCACGUUGGUAGUUCAGUUGUCAAAACCCCCAUGAAAAAUCUGCAUCUAAAACGAGUCUUAUAUGUCCCUACAACAUCGAAAAAUCUUCUUUCAGUUCAUAGAUUUACUCUUGAUAAUCGUGUUCUUAUUGAAUUCUAUCCUUAUUUCUUUUUGGUAAAGGACUUGGACACGAGGAGAGUGCUUCUUAGGGGCAAGUGCGUGGGAGGUCUCUACCCACUUAUAUCUUCGUCAUCACCAUCAAAUAAACAGGCCUUUGUUGCUGUCAAGCCUUCUUCAGCAAAGUGGCACAGUAGAUUAGGCCAUCCUUCAUCAGCUAUUGUUAAAAUCGUUCUUAGCAAGAAUAAA
RNAcentral lists this ribosomal RNA (501 nucleotides) under Triticum aestivum (bread wheat). RNAcentral's name for it is "partial small subunit ribosomal RNA". Lineage: Eukaryota; Viridiplantae; Streptophyta; Magnoliopsida; Poales; Poaceae. The record is from RNAcentral.